GGCGCUCCUCGAGAGCGUCCGGUGCCGAAGGGAAGCCAUUAAGCUCACCGCCUGGGAAGUACGGUCGCAAGACUGAAACUUAAAGAAAUUGGCGGGGGAGCACCACAAGGGGUGGAGCCAGCGGUUUAAUUGGAUUCAACGCCGGACAUCUCACCGGGGGCGACGGCAGAAUGAAGGCCAAGUUGACGACUUUGCCGGACUCGCCGAGAGGUGGUGCAUGGCCGCCGUCAGCUCGUAUCGUGAGACGUCCUGUCAAGUCAGGUAACGAGCGAGACCCUCGCCCUUAGUUACCAUCGGAUUCCGCAAGGGAUGCCGGGAACUCUAAGGGGACCGCUAUCGAUAAGACAGAGGAGGGAGAGGGCGACGGUAGGUCCGUAUGCCCCGAAUCCCCCGGGCAACACGUGGGCUACAAUGCGUAGGGCAGAGGGCUGCGACCCCGAAAGGGGGAGCUAAUCCCUAAACCUGCGCCUAGUUCGGAUCGAGGGCUGCAACCCGCCCUCGUGAAGCUGGAAUCCCUAGUAAUCGUGUGUCAUUAUCGCGCGGUGAAUGCGUCCCUGCUCCUUGCACACUCCA
RNAcentral lists this ribosomal RNA (573 nucleotides) under uncultured candidate division MSBL1 archaeon. RNAcentral describes it as "bacterial SSU rRNA". It matches the Rfam family "Archaeal small subunit ribosomal RNA", at positions 777 to 1348 of the family's 1478-position model. The record is from RNAcentral. Lineage: Archaea; Methanobacteriati; Methanobacteriota.